Molecule: ribosomal RNA, 562 nt
Filed under: Fusarium solani
Lineage: Eukaryota; Fungi; Ascomycota; Sordariomycetes; Hypocreales; Nectriaceae
Also listed under: 1 other name
Description: eukaryotic LSU rRNA
Rfam family: 5.8S ribosomal RNA (bases 197-350)
Source: RNAcentral
AAGUCGUAACAAGGUCUCCGUUGGUGAACCAGCGGAGGGAUCAUUACCGAGUUAUACAACUCAUCAACCCUGUGAACAUACCUAAAACGUUGCUUCGGCGGGAACAGACGGCCCUGUAACAACGGGCCGCCCCCGCCAGAGGACCCCUAACUCUGUUUUUAUAAUGUUUUUCUGAGUAAACAAGCAAAUAAAUUAAAACUUUCAACAACGGAUCUCUUGGCUCUGGCAUCGAUGAAGAACGCAGCGAAAUGCGAUAAGUAAUGUGAAUUGCAGAAUUCAGUGAAUCAUCGAAUCUUUGAACGCACAUUGCGCCCGCCAGUAUUCUGGCGGGCAUGCCUGUUCGAGCGUCAUUACAACCCUCAGGCCCCCGGGCCUGGCGUUGGGGAUCGGCGGAAGCCCCCUGUGGGCACACGCCGUCCCUCAAAUACAGUGGCGGUCCCGCCGCAGCUUCCAUUGCGUAGUAGCUAACACCUCGCAACUGGAGAGCGGCGCGGCCAUGCCGUAAAACACCCAACUUCUGAAUGUUGACCUCGAAUCAGGUAGGAAUACCCGCUGAACUUAA